AGUUGCAGCCCUACACCUGAGCUCUAUCUGUUCCUGGUGAAAACGCUGACUGUAAGCCUGCAGCUCUCUCAGGACAGAUUACACACUGCAGACAGGCUACUGCUUUCCACGUUAGUGCUUCAGACCAUAAGCCUGAUGCUCGGUGAGACGGAGAAAGGAGCUGCUCGCUUUAGCGCACUAACGUCCAAGCAGGGAAGCGUGACUGCAGACUUGCUCUUGGCUUUGGUGUGUGUGAUCCUGAGCUAAAGCCUUACAACUGCAAUUCUACAUCUCACACAGAGCUCCUGUUUAUGGUUUAUCAGGCCCAGCGUGUGGUUCUGGUUCUGUCAUUUCUGUCAGAGUCUCCCUUGAGCCCGUCUCAGGCUGUCCUCCUGUACCAGCGGUGCCACUUGCUCCUGACCUGCAUGCAGCACAACCCCUGUGUGAACACCUCCAUUAUUACAGAACUUA
Clarias gariepinus (North African catfish) is the source of this 450-nucleotide long non-coding RNA. RefSeq lists it as uncharacterized. The transcript has 5 exons. The record is from RefSeq and is a predicted model, not a curated record. Lineage: Eukaryota; Metazoa; Chordata; Actinopteri; Siluriformes; Clariidae.